CUCCGUAAUAGUCUAGAUGGUUAGGGUACCUGGCUUGCACCCAGACUGUCCGGAUUCGAGACCCGGUCACGGGGA
Marchantia paleacea is the source of this 75-nucleotide non-coding RNA. The record is from the annotation of a GenBank genome assembly. Lineage: Eukaryota; Viridiplantae; Streptophyta; Marchantiopsida; Marchantiales; Marchantiaceae.